Molecule: small RNA, 711 nt
Filed under: Histoplasma capsulatum
Lineage: Eukaryota; Fungi; Ascomycota; Eurotiomycetes; Onygenales; Ajellomycetaceae
Also listed under: 1 other name
Description: hypothetical RNA
Source: RNAcentral
CUGCCUUCUCAAAUUACUAUUAUUACAUAGUCUCGCCCAACUUUCAGUUCGAAACGAUCUGACUGCUCUGGCCCGGAUGGGUGGCUGGAUUGGACCAUCAAAAGUUCCAUCUAUAACUAUCUCAUGCAUCUUCUAGCUCAAGAAUAUGGUUGCUAGGCUUGUAAUUGACUCUGUUUGACAAUGGAUCUGGCAUGGGACAUAGAGGUGGGGAUAACUUGAUAAACAAAAACUGUUAGCACGGGAAGUAUAAGCACUCACACACUGAUAACUUACCAAACCCAAAGUGUUGUGAAUCAUGGAAAAAUCUAAGUUUACAUCUAUCUUCAGCUAUCUUCAGCAGUAGCUACGGAAGCUAUUGUAACAGCGCUGGCAGCACAGAGUGCACUCCCAACCCCUGGAUCAACCAAAACAUAACUUUCUCCUCGGUUGUCAAUAAUAACAGGCAUCUAUCUGGUAAUCAGAUUUCCUUUCACAUCAUGGAUAAUGACAUCUUGUGAUCUGAUGAAAAUAUUGCAUGGUAUGAGCGGUGCAGGGUGCUACAUAUGUAAGGAAGAGACAGGCCAAAAAGUAAUGCGAAACAUGUGAAGUGGUACUAGUAGGAUUCCUUGAAGGCUUAAGUCAGUAAAUGGACGGGUAAUUAUUUUGCAUUUGAGUGAGUUCAAUAGGUUGUAGGAUUUGCAUGAUACUUGCAUUUGUUAGGCCACUGGGGUA